Molecule: long non-coding RNA, 4893 nt
Organism: Canis lupus familiaris (dog)
Lineage: Eukaryota; Metazoa; Chordata; Mammalia; Carnivora; Canidae
Exons: 2
Source: RefSeq, a predicted model, not a curated record
CGACCGCGAGCGCCCGGCGACCUGCGCGGGGGGACGGGGCGGGGCGGCGGCGGCCGGGCGCCGUGACGUCAGCUCUUUCGUCAUCUCCGUCAUUCUGCUCCUGAAAACAGAUUUGCCAUGAGAGAUGGUAGCAUCAAGCCAUCCAGCCAAGUGCCAGAAGCCAGAUUAAAUUAUCUGUGAAGUUGGCCAACUAAGAGCAGAGAGAACUCCCGCCUCCCUCAACCCGCAGGAAAACCUUGGGAGCCAAGCAGGCCUGCUGGAGCCAAGGCUAGUUCUGACACCUCACCCCCGGAGCUGGGCAUCCACUUUCCAUUCUUCGCAAAAAUUCAUGUGUCAAAAUUAGCAGGUGAAUUGUUCACAUCACUGACACCUGGAGUCUGAACACAGAAGAAGAUAAGACACCUGUAAGGAUCUUUGAAAGGUUAUCUGUGAAGACAAUGAUCUGUUUAGGCCAUGCCAUGAUUCUGAGUAAAGAUGGAAAUUGCUGGAAGGACUUCUAAGGAAUAUUUUGCUAACACCGCUUUUCCCUAGUCUUAUUUUUCCUGUUUCACAGUGAUAUGAUGAUAAGAACUUUAGUAGCCAUUUUCUCAGUAUGAGGAAAAUAACCAGAGAUAUUGGCCCUGACAUCCAUAACCUGCUGAGCCAAUGCCAAUAGCAGCCUGCCUCCUUGCAGACUUCUUACGAUAUGGGAAAAAUAACCCCCUAUUUGCUUAAAGUCAUGUAUUAGGGUGUUUCAUUACAUGCAGCUAAAUGAUGGUACAGAUAGGUAAUUGGGGUUAUUUCUUGGCAUGCUUUAAAAAGUGCUGAAUCAGAGGAUAGUAGGAUAGUACUAAGACCAGAAUUUAAAUUUAUGUAUUUUAUUAAUUUAAUAAACACUCAGGUAAUACUUACUGUAGGUCAGGCUUUAAUAUAAACACUUUACAAAUAUUAACUCAUUGUCUCCUCACUAAGGAUGGUUACUAUUAUUAUCCCCAUUUUAAUUAAGAGCAAAUGGAGGCAUAGAGAAAAUUAAGUAAACUGCCCAAGAUCAUACAGCCAGUAAAUGUCAAAGCCAGGAUAGAAAACCAAGUUUUGAGGUUCUUAAUCACUAUAUCAUGCCACCUGAUGAUGCCAGUCAGUGCAUAUCCCAUCCCAGGUUCUAAUUCCCCUUCUGCUACUGAUAAGCCAUGUAAUUAGGGUUGUGUUUCCUCAGAGUCUACAGUUUUGACACCCCACCUUCCCCCAACUGCCUGUUGCCCCCACACUGAUAUCGGACAGAAACAUAUUGGGCAGAAACAACAUCUGUAUUUCAGCAUCUUUUUCGAUGCCAUUAUCUGAUUCAUAAGGAUGGGAAAAUUUGAGAUAAGACUCCCACAGGCCCACAAACCACUUUUAAUAACCUUCACGAAACUUCCAUUACUGACAAUCUUUGUUAUCAUUUGACCAUAUCGUUUAAUUUCAUAGCACCAAAGUCAUCUGAAGUUAUCUUUGACACACUUGAGCUCUAUCUUCUUUAAAUGAACGCUUCAUCAAUACCUAUUUAUGCCUCAUUUCUCCAUUAUUCCUUUCACAAAAACUACAUCUGAUUCCGGAUUUAUCCAAUAACUAUAUUCAGUGUAAUUUAUUUUCAAGAAUUGUGUAGUGAUGUUCCUUUAAGUUUUACCUAAAUUGAUGGAUUAUUUUCUUUCAAAAUAGCCUGUUCUUCCACCUUAAUAUUUAUUGGAGGCCUGACAUCUUUAUAUUGACAGUGGCGGAAUGACUCUUCUAUUUGGAGGAAACCUUAAAGAUCAACUGUUCUAGGUCCUUUGUUUUAUAGAUGAUGAAACAGGCUCUGAAAUUUAAAUGAUUUGCCUAAAGUUACUGGCAGAGCCAGAUCUAAAACUUUCCUUAGGGCAACUUUUUCUUUCCUUUUUAUUUUAUUUACAUUAAUAGAUUUAAUUUUUAAAAAAAGUUUUAGGUAUACAGAAAAUUUGAGCAGAAAGUCUCCAUAUACUCCCUCUCUCUCUGCCACACACAGGUUCCCCUACCAUUAAUAUCUUGCAUUAGUGCGGUACAUUCAUUAAAAUUGAUGAUUAUUACUGAUUAAAGUGUGUAUUUACAUCAGGGAAAACUAGAGGUGAGUAUCUCUCAUGAAUACAGAUGUAAAAAUCUUCAACAAAUUAUUAACAAAUCAAAUUUAAUAAUGUAUAAAAAAUUAUACAGCAUGACCAUGUGGGAUUUGUGCUAGGCAUGCAAGUUUUGUUCAACAUUCAAAAAUCAAUUAAUGUAAUCCAUCACAUCAACAGGCUAAAGAUAUAAAUCAUAUAAUCAAAUCAAUAGACUCAAGGAAAAAAAGCAUAUGACAAAAUCCAAUGCUCAUUCAUGCUAAAGAAUCUUUGCAAACUAUAAACAUAGGGAAACUUCCUGAACUUAUUAAAGAACAUUUUUUAAGACCCUUCAGUUAGCAUUAACACAAAUGGUAAGAAAUCCAUUCUCCUUCAGAUCAAGAGCAAGACAAGGAUGUUCUCUCUUAUCAUCCCUACUCAACAUUGAACUGAAAGUCCUUAUUAAUCAGUCCUUAUAUAAUACAUAUAAAUGGGAAAAUGAAAUAAAAGUAUAUAGAUCAGGAAGGAAGAAAUAAAGCUUUCUUUGUUCAGAUGAUAUGAUCAGGAAGGAAGAAAUAAAGCUUUCUUUGUUCAGAUGAUAUGAAUUGCUUAUCUAGAAAAUCUCACAGUAUAAAUCAAAAAACUCUUGGAACUAAUAAAUGAUUAUAACAAGUUUUUCAAAAUGCAAGGUUAAUAUGCAAAAGCUUAUUCUUUUUCUAUAUAACAGCAACAAAGGUUGGAAUUUGAAAGUAAAAAAUAAGACACUAUUUACAUUAGUACCAAAAAUGAAAUACUUAGGUGUGGAUCUAACAAAAUACAUACAAGAUUGAUAUGAGGAAAUUUGCAAAAUUCUGAUGAAAGAAAUAAAAGAAUAUCUAAAUAAAUGGAUAUUCCAUGCUUACAUAUAGGAAGACUCAAUACUGUUAAGAUGUCAAUUCUUUCCAACAUCAUAUGUCUAUUCAAUGCAAUUCCAAUCAAAUAUCAGCAAGGUAUUUUGUAAAGCUAUUUCAAAAGUUUAUGGACCUAGAAUAGCCAACAUAAACAAAGUUGGAGGACUGAUACUACCUGACUUCAAGACUUAUUAUAAAGCUACAGUCAUCAAGACAGUAUGGUGUUAGAGAAAGAAUAGACAGAUCAAUGGAGCAGAAUAAACCUACACAAAUACAGUCAACUGGUCUUUGAUAAAGGAGCAAAGGCAAUUCAGUGGAGAAAGGAGUCUUUUCUAGUUUUGCUGGAAAAACUUGAUGUCCCCAUAGAAAAAGAAAUGAACCUAGACACAGACCUUACACCUUCCACAAAAAAUUAACUCAAAAUGGAACAUAUUCCUAAGUGUAAAAUGCAAGACUAUAAAACUUACCACUAAUCACAAAUAAAGUUUAUCACAAAAUAUAAAGCAUACUAAAUGCUAUAGCUUUCCCUUAUCAUCCCAAAUCCCUACAGUCCCCUAAAAAUACAAAAUUAAAGAAAAAAAUCUAGAACCUUCCUGGAAGAUUUUAAAAGGUGUCUCUCUGGAUCAGAAGCUAUAAUGAAUAAGUGAAAGAUGAAAAACAAAGUCAAGUGAAGAAGAGGAAUAUGGUCAAAAUGCAUAGGGAAAAGUUUUUUAAAAAGAGUUCUUCAUACCCUGUGUAGGUGCGGUAGUCAGAAAGGCAUCAACAGUAAUGGAUAGCCCCUAGCCCCACAGGGCAGGCAGUGACCUUCAGGAGGAAGCAGUGUCCAGGCUGUAUGGACCAGUGUGCUCUAGAUAUGGAACUGCCAUUCCAGGUGCUACUAGUACUCAGAAGAGGAUGUUAACCCUUAAAUGCAUUUAUUAAGAAAGCAAGAUUUAAGAUAAACUUUCAACCUAGUAGCAAAGAAAAAAAAAGAAAGAGAAAAACCAAAUAGAAUAGUUUGAAAAGUUUAAAAAGACCAAUGAAAUGACGUAAACUCUGGCAAAAUUUGCUAAUAUUUAGUUUGAAUUUCUGUUUCCAAGUACAUAAAUGAGCUUGGCCUCACUUUGCAUUUUCAGUCCUGUGAUUGCAUUUAGUGCUAAGAUUAUAGGAUGAACUGGGUAGUUUUCCCUCUUUUCUAAUUUUGUUUUUAUAUAUUUGGUAAAAUACAAAGAUUAUCUAUUUCUUGAUGGCUUGCUAAAAACUUGCAAAACUACGUAUGUAUAGAGCCUCUUGUGCCAUGCGUGGUCAAAGACUAUUCUGAAUAGAAGUUUAAUUUUCUUAAUUGUUAAAUUUUGUAUUUCUAUUUGGGUCAAUUUCAUGAAGUGCAUUUUAAGUAAACUUGUCCAUUUCACCUAAUUUCUCAAAAUCAUUAGUAUAAAGUUAUUGAUAUAUUAGCUCAUGAUUUAUUAAUUCCCUAUCAAAUCUGUAUUAUGUAUCAUUUCUAAUAUCAUUGUGACUUCUUUUUCUUCUUGAUAAGUCCUACUGGAAAGUUUGUCUUGCUUAUUAGUAUUUUCAAAAUCUAAUGUUUUUAUUUAUUUUUUUUCUUUACACUUAUUAUUUCCUAGUUUUACAAUCUUUAGGUGUAAUGUUUUCUUUUGUAACUGAGUUGAACACUUACCUAAUUUGUUUCCAAUAAUUUGUUUUUUAAAUAAAUUUCUCCUUACCUUAAGCUAUAUCAUUCAUGAUUUGGUAUGUAGAUUUCUAAUUUCAGUGCAUGGGGGGGGAUGCCAUGAUUUCUGUUAUGAUGAUUCUUAUAAUUUGAAGAUAUUUCCUUGGUGACAUCUGAAUAUUGGUAAAUGUUCAAUGUAUGAUUGGGAAGAAUUUAUACUUCUUGUCUCCCUUUCAUAGAUCAAAUAUGUUAUAUCUUUGAAUGAUUUAAAUAUAUUAAUAUUCAAGUCCUU